This 443-nucleotide ribosomal RNA is filed under the name uncultured bacterium. Its description in RNAcentral is "partial 16S ribosomal RNA". It matches the Rfam family "Bacterial small subunit ribosomal RNA", at positions 338 to 795 of the family's 1533-position model. The record is from RNAcentral.
CCUACGGGUGGCAGCAGUGGGGAAUAUUGGGCAAUGGGCGCAAGCCUGACCCAGCAACGCCGCGUGAAGGAAGAAGGCUUUCGGGUUGUAAACUUCUUUUUUCAGGGGCGAAGCAAGUGACGGUACCUGACGAAUAAGCCACGGCUAACUACGUGCCAGCAGCCGCGGUAAUACGUCGGGGGCAAGCGUUAUCCGGAUUUAUUGGGGGUAAAGGGCGUGUAGGCGGGAAUGCAAGUCAGAUGUGAAAACUAUGGGCUCAACCCAUAGCCUGCAUUUGAAACUGUAUUUCUUGAGUGCUGGGGAGGCAAGCGGAAUUCGGGGUGUAGCGGUGAAAUGCGUAGAUAUAAGGAGGAACACCAGUGGCGAAGGCGGAUUGCUGGACAGUAACUGACGCUGAGGCGCGAAAGCGUGGGGAGCAAACAGGAUUAGAUACCCGAGUAGUC